RNAcentral lists this ribosomal RNA (467 nucleotides) under uncultured bacterium. Its description in RNAcentral is "partial 16S ribosomal RNA". It matches the Rfam family "Bacterial small subunit ribosomal RNA", at positions 28 to 506 of the family's 1533-position model. The record is from RNAcentral.
GAUGAACGCUGGCGGCGUGCCUAACACAUGCAAGUCGAACGGAAAGGCCCUGCUCUUGUGGGGUGCUCGUGUGGCGAACGGGUGAGUAACACGUGAGUAACCUGCCCUUGACUUAGGGAUAACUUUUGGAAAAUGGGGCUAAUACCGGAUAGAAGCUCCUGAUGCACGGUGGGGGUAGGAAAGUGUCGGUGGUUGAGGAUGUACUCGCGGUUUAUCAGCUUGUUGGUGUGGUAGUGGCUUACCAAGGAUAUGACGGGUAGCCGGCCUGAGAGUGUGACCGGCCACAGAGGGACAGGGGUACGACCCGUACGCCUACGGGCGGCAGGAGUGGGGAAUAUUGCACGAUAGGCGGAAGCCGUGUGGAGCGACGCCGCGUGGGAAAUGACGGCCUUCAGGGUGGAAACCACGUUCGCCUGAGUCUAAACAUGUGGGACGUUAAUAGGCAAAGAAGCACCGGCUAACUACGU